Molecule: ribosomal RNA, 433 nt
Filed under: uncultured bacterium
Lineage: Bacteria
Description: partial 16S ribosomal RNA
Rfam family: Bacterial small subunit ribosomal RNA
Source: RNAcentral
AACGAACGCUGGCGGCAUGCCUAACACAUGCAAGUCGAACGAGACCUUCGGGCCUAGUCGCGCACUCGUCCGUAACGCGUGGGAACCUGCCUUUAGGUUUGGCAUAACUCCCCGAAUGGCGUGCUAAUACCGGUUCUUAUCCUGGAUCCAAAGAUUUGUCGCCUUUGGAGGGUCCUGCGUUGGAUUGGCUAGUUGUUAGGGUAAAAGCCUACGACUGGUACGUUCCAUAGAUGGUUAGAGAGGCAGGGCAGCGACACUGGGCCGAGGACACGGCCCAGAAUAUUACGCGAGGCAGCAGUGGGGGAUAUUGGAAAGUCGGCGGAAGCAUGAAGGUGCUAUGACGGGUGAGUGAUGAAGGCUGUAGGGUUGUAAAGCAAUUUUACACGGGAUGAUAAUGACAGUACCGGGAGAAUAAGCACCGGCUAACUCCGUG